Molecule: ribosomal RNA, 493 nt
Filed under: uncultured bacterium
Lineage: Bacteria
Description: partial 16S ribosomal RNA
Rfam family: Bacterial small subunit ribosomal RNA
Source: RNAcentral
GACGAACGCUGGCGGCGUGCUUAACACAUGCAAGUCGAACGGUGAAGGGACCGGUUUUUGCUGGUUCUGGAUGAGUGGCGAACGGGUGAGUAACACGUGAGUAACCUGCCCCCUUCUUCUGGAUAACCGCAUGAAAGUGUGGCUAAUACGGGAUAUUCUGCGCCUGCUGCAUGGUGGGUGUGGGAAAGAUAUUGUUUCGGUGGGGGAUGGGCUCGCGGCCUAUCAGCUUGUUGGUGGGGUGAUGGCCUACCAAGGCGGUGACGGGUAGCCGGCCUGAGAGGGUGGACGGUCACACUGGGACUGAGACACGGCCCAGACUCCUACGGGAGGCAGCAGUGGGGAAUAUUGCACAAUGGGCGCAAGCCUGAUGCAGCGACGCCGCGUGAGGGGUGGAGGCCUUCGGGUUGUAAACCUCUUUCGCCAGUGAAGCAGGCCUGUCCCUUUUGUGGGUGGGUUGACGGUAGCUGGAUAAGAAGCGCCGGCUAACUACGUG